This 514-nucleotide ribosomal RNA is filed under the name Achrioptera punctipes. Its description in RNAcentral is "partial 16S ribosomal RNA". It matches the Rfam family "Bacterial large subunit ribosomal RNA", at positions 1810 to 2600 of the family's 2925-position model. The record is from RNAcentral. Lineage: Eukaryota; Metazoa; Arthropoda; Insecta; Phasmatodea; Phasmatidae.
AAAACAUCUUUUCUUGUUUAUUUAUUUGAAAUAUGACCUGCCCAAUGAAUAUUUAAAUGGCCGCGGUAUUUUGACCGUGCAAAGGUAGCAUAAUCAUUAGUCUAUUAAUUGUUGACUUGUAUGAAUGGUUAAACGAAAUAUUAACUGUCUCGAAUUUAAUAUUUGAAUUUAAAUUUUAAGUGAAAAUGCUUAAAUUUUAUUAUUGGACGAGAAGACCCUAUAGAUCUUUAUUAUAUAAUAUUUUAAUUUUUUGGUUAAAUUUUUAUUAAAAUUUUAUAUUUUUUUAUUGGGGUGAUAUGAAGAUUUAAUUAACUCUUUAUUUUUUAAUUCAUUAAUUUAUGUUUAUUUGACCUUUUAAUAUUGUUUAUAAGAUAUAGAUACCUUAGGGAUAACAGCGUAAUUCUUUUUGAGAGUUCUUAUUGACAAGAGAGAUUGCGACCUCGAUGUUGGAUUAAGAUUAUUAUUAGGUGAAGGGGCUUAAUUAAUAGGUCUGUUCGACCUUUAAAUUCUUACA